UACGGAGGGUGCAAGCAUUGAUCGGAAUUAUUGGGCGUAAAGGGCGCGUAGGCGGCUUAUUAAGUCAGAUGUGAAAUUUCGCGGCUCAACUGCGAAGCUGCAUUUGAAACUAAUAGGCUAGAGGGUAGUUAGGGAAAACGGAAUUCCACGUGUAGCGGUGGAAUGCGUAGAUAUGUGGAAGAACACCGGUGGUGAAGACGGUUUUCUGGGCUAUACCUGACGCUGAGGCGCGAAAGCUAGGGGAGCAAACAGG
Molecule: ribosomal RNA, 253 nt
Filed under: uncultured bacterium
Lineage: Bacteria
Description: partial 16S ribosomal RNA
Rfam family: Bacterial small subunit ribosomal RNA
Source: RNAcentral